This 497-nucleotide ribosomal RNA is filed under the name uncultured bacterium. RNAcentral's name for it is "partial 16S ribosomal RNA". It matches the Rfam family "Bacterial small subunit ribosomal RNA", at positions 28 to 507 of the family's 1533-position model. The record is from RNAcentral.
GACGAACGCUGGCGGCGUGCCUAAUACAUGCAAGUUGAGCGAUGAAGAUUGGUGCUUGCACCAAUUUGAAGAGCAGCGAACGGGUGAGUAACGCGUGGGGAAUCUGCCUUUGAGCGGGGGACAACAUUUGGAAACGAAUGCUAAUACCGCAUAACAACUUUAAACAUAAGUUUUAAGUUUGAAAGAUGCAAUUGCAUCACUCAAAGAUGAUCCCGCGUUGUAUUAGCUAGUUGGUGAGGUAAAGGCUCACCAAGGCGAUGAUACAUAGCCGACCUGAGAGGGUGAUCGGCCACAUUGGGACUGAGACACGGCCCAAACUCCUACGGGAGGCAGCAGUAGGGAAUCUUCGGCAAUGGACGAAAGUCUGGCCGAGCAACGCCGCGUGAGUGAAGAAGGUUGUCGGAUCGUAAAACUCUGUUGGUAGAGAAGAACGUUGGUGAGAGUGGAAAGCUCAUCAAGUGACGGUAACUACCCAGAAAGGGACGGCUAACUACGUG